AGUGAACGCUGGCGGUAGGCCUAACACAUGCAAGUCGAACGGCAGCACAGUAAGAGCUUGCUCUUACGGGUGGCGAGUGGCGGACGGGUGAGGAAUACAUCGGAAUCUACUUUUUCGUGGGGGAUAACGUAGGGAAACUUACGCUAAUACCGCAUACGACCUACGGGUGAAAGCAGGGGAUCUUCGGACCUUGCGCGAUUGAAUGAGUCGAUGUCGGAUUAGCUAGUUGGCGGGGUAAAGGCCCACCAAGGCGACGAUCCGUAGCUGGUCUGAGAGGAUGAUCAGCCACACUGGAACUGAGACACGGUCCAGACUCCUACGGGAGGCAGCAGUGGGGAAUAUUGGACAAUGGGCGCAAGCCUGAUCCAGCUAUACCGCGUGGGUGAAGAAGGCCUUCGGGUUGUAAAGCCCUUUUGUUGGGAAAGAAAAGCAGCAGGUUAAUACCCCGCUGUUCUGACGGUACCCAAAGAAUAAGCACCGGCUAACUUCGUG
RNAcentral lists this ribosomal RNA (492 nucleotides) under uncultured bacterium. Its description in RNAcentral is "partial 16S ribosomal RNA". It matches the Rfam family "Bacterial small subunit ribosomal RNA", at positions 29 to 507 of the family's 1533-position model. The record is from RNAcentral.